Molecule: ribosomal RNA, 490 nt
Filed under: Microhyla sp. 2 VG-2020
Lineage: Eukaryota; Metazoa; Chordata; Amphibia; Anura; Microhylidae
Description: partial large subunit ribosomal RNA
Rfam family: Bacterial large subunit ribosomal RNA (bases 167-490)
Source: RNAcentral
CCUAAAACCUAGCCCUACUAACAUACAAUGCCCACUCAACAACAACCCCCAUCAAAUAAAACAUUUUACUAAUUUAGUAAAGGCGAUUGAAAAAUAUUUAGGAGCUAUAGAGACCAGUACCGCAAGGGAAAAGUGAAAUAUUUAUGAAAAACUUUUAAGCACUAUAAAGCAGAGCCACAACCUCGUACCUUUUGCAUCAUGGUUUAACUAGUUUAACCAGACAAAACGCAACUUUAGCCUGACUUCCCGAAACUAGGUGAGCUACUUAAAAACAGCCUGUUGGGCCAACCCGUCUCUGUCGCAAAAGAGUGGGAAGAUUAUUAAGUAGUGGUGACAAACCUACCGAACCUAGAGAUAGCUGGUUAUUCAGGAAAAGAAUUUAAGUUCUACCUUAGGUUUUAUGUAACACAAAUACUAAAUAAACCUUAAGAGCUAUUCAAACAAGGUACAGCCUGUUUGAAAUAGGGUACAACCUCCUUUAGCGGGUAAC